GGGGUUGUGGCUCAGUGAUAGAGCACUUGCCUAGCAUGUGCAAGAUGCUGGGUUCGAUCCUCAGCACCA
Non-coding RNA from Ictidomys tridecemlineatus (thirteen-lined ground squirrel), 69 nucleotides. NCBI's taxonomy places the organism in Eukaryota, Metazoa, Chordata, Mammalia, Rodentia, Sciuridae. The record is from Rfam.